Molecule: ribosomal RNA, 253 nt
Filed under: uncultured bacterium
Lineage: Bacteria
Description: partial 16S ribosomal RNA
Rfam family: Bacterial small subunit ribosomal RNA
Source: RNAcentral
UACGGGGGGGGCAAGCGUUGUUCGGAAUUACUGGGCGUAAAGGGCUCGUAGGCGGCCAACUAAGUCAGACGUGAAAUCCCUCGGCUUAACCGGGGAAUGGCGUCUGAUACUGGAUGGCUUGAAUCCGGGAGAGGGAUGCGGAAUUCCAGGUGUAGCGGUGAAAUGCGUAGAUAUCUGGAGGAACACCGGUGGCGAAGGCGGCAUCCUGGACCGGCAUUGACGCUGAGGAGCGAAAGCUAGGGGAGCAAACGGG